This 520-nucleotide ribosomal RNA is filed under the name Prolixibacter sp. enrichment culture clone 3. Its description in RNAcentral is "bacterial SSU rRNA". It matches the Rfam family "Bacterial small subunit ribosomal RNA", at positions 338 to 858 of the family's 1533-position model. The record is from RNAcentral. Lineage: Bacteria; Pseudomonadati; Bacteroidota; Bacteroidia; Marinilabiliales; Prolixibacteraceae.
CCUACGGGAGGCAGCAGUGAGGAAUAUUGGUCAAUGGGCGAGAGCCUGAACCAGCCAUCCCGCGUGCAGGAUGACGGCCCUACGGGUUGUAAACUGCUUUUAUGUACCAAGAAUGUGUUCUACGUGUAGGAUUUUGACGGUAGUACAUGAAUAAGCAUCGGCUAACUCCGUGCCAGCAGCCGCGGUAAUACGGAGGAUGCAAGCGUUAUCCGGAUUCAUUGGGUUUAAAGGGUGCGUAGGCGGCUAUAUAAGUCAGUGGUGAAAUGCUGCAGCUCAACUGUAGAACUGCCAUUGAAACUGUAUAGCUUGAGUGCGCCUGAGGUAGGCGGAAUGAGUAGUGUAGCGGUGAAAUGCUUAGAUAUUACUCAGAACACCGAUUGCGAAGGCAGCUUACUAAAGCGUAACUGACGCUGAUGCACGAAAGCGUGGGGAGCGAACAGGAUUAGAUACCCUGGUAGUCCACGCCGUAAACGAUGAUAACUCGCUGUUGGCGAUACACAGUCAGCGGCUAAGCGAAAGC